Long non-coding RNA from Hyposmocoma kahamanoa, 361 nucleotides. RefSeq lists it as uncharacterized. NCBI's taxonomy places the organism in Eukaryota, Metazoa, Arthropoda, Insecta, Lepidoptera, Cosmopterigidae. The record is from RefSeq and is a predicted model, not a curated record. The transcript is spliced from 3 exons.
CUCCUGUCAGUAUACACGUGUCGAAAUUUAAAUUGGUACUUUCCGAGUGAAAUUGGUUGCCUUUUUUGUAUAGUUUGUGGUGCUGUUGUUGUGUUUGUGAAGGCCUAAAAAACGUGCCAGUGAUGAAGCAUCUUCCUCCCAAACUACAUCGGAGCAACCUCCGAAACGUUCUUCAAACGCUCCUCCAAAUGCAUCUGCCCAACAAACCUACAGCUUACCCGAAUUUGCUGACGGAUGGUGCAACCGAUCAUCGUCGUUUGAGUGAAUCUUGAUAAAUAUACCGUGUAUCUUUCAACCCGGACACUGGCAGAAUUGUCCUCAGUGGGACAGAAGCCAAAUAACCAAAAAAAAAAAAAAAAAA